Long non-coding RNA from Sciurus carolinensis (gray squirrel), 2892 nucleotides. RefSeq lists it as uncharacterized. Lineage: Eukaryota; Metazoa; Chordata; Mammalia; Rodentia; Sciuridae. The transcript has 4 exons. The record is from RefSeq and is a predicted model, not a curated record.
AGGGUGCUAACAUCGCCCGGCGCGCCGGCCACCCUCGGUGGAGGCAGCUCCCAGGCAGAGAGGCAGUGUUCGCACGGGUGGUUGGACCCGUAUUUCAGCCUCCCCCAACGCUCAUCACGUUUCUGGGGUCCUCUCUGCACACCCCAUCUUUGCAACUGUCGCCCUGUUGCAGAACCAGAAAACAAAGGCAGCGAGUACGGAAUGGUGACAUUCGAAAGCUGAGAUGGGUAGAUUGGAAGGCACGUUUGCAGAGUAAGAGGUUCUGAAAGGGAAUCCAUUAAGACUUUGUUAAUGGGAGGUAUCCCGGGAGUGAGCGUCCCUCACCUUCUGUACAAGGCUGCUCUGGCUUUGUGGAGCUCUGAGCGGCUGUUGUUACAAUGUGAAUCAAGUUUCAUUCUUCAGCAGCCCUUCGGCAACAGGAAAAACCCAACUUGCUCAGACAAGUUGUAUCAAAUGGCAAGAGUCCAAUCCCCUCGGACUUACUCAAUGCAACGUCUCUUAGCCAAGAAGUCAGUCAAUAAGACCGAAGGGAUUCUUCUCGACCAUAGCCUCCCUCUGCUCCUUGGAUGUCCCCGGAUGCCCUCAGAUAUCCGAUGAGUCGGAGGCUGGAUGUUUGAGAUGGCAGUCAUUGUUGCUGGAGCGGUGGUUAGUCGUCUGGGCUCGGUGACAACGGUCGAUCGGCAAUCAGUGAUAGUGUGGACGGCCGCCGGGGCAGUCAAGAGACAGAGCGACAUGGAGUCCUCUGGUCACAGUGCUGCUGACAGUUUGCUCCAAAAGUCCAGGGGAAGCUCAUGGUGCCAGAGGCGUGAUGAAUCCCAAGCACAUAAAGGAGUCGGGGUGGAUGAAGUGAGACCUAAGGCCACACCUGACUCCUGGGAGCCAGUCUUACCAUGGUCGCCAGUGCUGUUUAUUUGAAUACAUGCCUCACCCUCUUAGGCCUGCCAAUGUUCCCCACCUCCUGGUAUUCUUGAACUUGAACCUCCCUUGAGUGUGCAUUGAAUAUAUCGACCCACUUCUAACAAAUGGAACAGACCAGAAGUUAUAGGAUGGCUUCGUGUUCUGUGUGGCUAUCACAGAACGCCUGAGAUUGGGGAGAUUAAAAAGGACAGAAAUGGAGAGGCUGGAGUUGUGGCUCAGUGGUAGAGCGCUUGCCUAGCAUGUGUGAGGCACUGGGUUUGAUUCUCAGCACCACAUCUAAAUAAAAGAAUAAAAUAAAAGAAUAAAAUAAAAUACAACAACAACAAAAACAGAAAUGGAUUCAGUUCUGGCGGCCAGGAAGUCCGAGAUCAACAUGCCAGCAGCUGACAAGGGCUUUUGGGCUGAGUCCUCACAUGGCAAAAGAGAAGGGGAGGAAGAACGCACUCCUACAAGCCCUUAAAUAGAAAUAUUCACCUACUCAUGAGAGCAGAACCCUCAUGACCAAAGCUCCCCAAAUGCUGCCUCCCAAUGCAGCUCAAAUCUCCAACAAAGGAAUCCAGGGGACUCGUUUGGACCACAGCAUAGAAUGUCUUAUAUAUGACCUAUAUUAGCCGGAAGUGGUGGCAUAUCCUGUAAUCCCAGUGGUUAGGGAGACCAAGGAAGGAGGAUUGUGAGUUCAAAGCCAGCCUCCGCAACUUAGUGAGGCCCUAAGCAACUCAGUGAGACCCUGUCUCUAAAUAAAAUACAAAAUAGGGCUGGAGAUGUGGUUCAGUGGUUAAGCACCCCUGAGUUAUCUUUGGUCUUCUUUCUGUCUCACAUUGCUUACCCUGGAGGGAGCUGCUGCCAUAUCAUGAGCAGCCUGUGGCGAGGCCCAUGUGAUGAGGAACCGCCACCUGCUCACAGCCACAGCAGCAAGAUUUUCCUUCCCACUGAGCCUUCAGAUGAGACUGAAGCCCUAGCUCACAGCUUGCCUGCAGUCUCACGUAGGAUCUUUAGCCAGAGGUGGCACAAAGCCACGCCUAGAUUCCAGGAUCAUGAAAAACGUAAGGUAACAGAGGCUUUGUUGCUUUAAGCUACUACAUUGUGGGACAACUUGUUACACUGCAAUAAAUAGCCAAUACACUGCUUUUACUUGGGUGAGAAGUGUCUGGCAAUGUGUGAAGCCAGAAGCAGAUGGGGAGAUGCACUGGUCAGUUCUCUGCUUAAGGAUGGACUCACUGCCCAGCUGCAGGGGGUUCAGCAGACAGACAGCCUUGAGGGUCCAACCUGACUUGUGAGCUGGGUCCAUGCUUCUCAUGGGGCCAAGCCAAGUGCCAAGCAAGGUGAUGACACAGGUCUCACCAUCUCUGCCCAAGUCGAACCUUCUAAUGGGCAGGCAGCCUUUGCCUCAGAGCUCCCCAUUGGGCUGGCAACAACUUUAACAAGUCUUUAAUGGGGUCUUCCCCUUCCAGGGGUUUGCUCUCCAAUAAGCCUUUCCCAUUUCCACUUCAUGUCAGCCCCUGUUUCUCAGAGAAUCUAUUCUGCAACCAAAGACAACAUAGUCUGCAGAGAAACCUAAGCUUUCCAAUCAACCCAGACCAGGGUCCAAAUAUAGACUCCGCCCCUUGCUGGCUCUGUGACCCUAAGGAAGUUACUUAACUUCUCUGAACCUUGUUUUUCUCACAUGUAAACUGGAUAACAAAUAAUGUGGGGACUGAACUGGGAUAUUUAACACAAUGCCCAGCACGUAGUAAGUGCUAGGAAAAGGAUGGCCAUUGUCUAUCCACAGACUACACACCCACUAGCUCCUUCAUAUUCUGCCUAAGGUUUUAUUGGAAAUAAGUUCAAUACCUUGUCUGCUAUAUUUAUAGUAGACUUUUGACAUUCAUGAGGCUUAGUCCCACAACCUUCAUGAAACCCCAAAUACAACCACAGCAUAUGUUUACCCAUGAAAUAAAGUACAACCCAAAAUUAUAUGACUCCUUAUGUCCUUAA